GAUGAACGCUGGCGGCGUGCCUAAUACAUGCAAGUCGAGCGAACAGACGAGGAGCUUGCUCCUCUGACGUUAGCGGCGGACGGGUGAGUAACACGUGGAUAACCUACCUAUAAGACUGGGAUAACUUCGGGAAACCGGAGCUAAUACCGGAUAAUAUAUUGAACCGCAUGGUUCAAUAGUGAAAGACGGUUUUGCUGUCACUUAUAGAUAGAUCCGCGCCGCAUUAGCUAGUUGGUAAGGUAACGGCUUACCAAGGCAACGAUGCGUAGCCGACCUGAGAGGGUGAUCGGCCACACUGGAACUGAGACACGGUCCAGACUCCUACGGGAGGCAGCAGUAGGGAAUCUUCCGCAAUGGGCGAAAGCCUGACGGAGCACCGCCGCGUGAGUGAUGAAGGUCUUCGGAUCGUAAAACUCUGUUAUUAGGGAAGAACAAAUGUGUAAGUAACUAUGCACGUCUUGACGGUACCUAAUCAGAAAGCCACGGCUAACUACGUG
This 497-nucleotide ribosomal RNA is filed under the name uncultured bacterium. Its description in RNAcentral is "partial 16S ribosomal RNA". It matches the Rfam family "Bacterial small subunit ribosomal RNA", at positions 28 to 507 of the family's 1533-position model. The record is from RNAcentral.